This 937-nucleotide ribosomal RNA is filed under the name Strongyloides stercoralis. RNAcentral's name for it is "16S ribosomal RNA". The record is from RNAcentral. Lineage: Eukaryota; Metazoa; Nematoda; Chromadorea; Rhabditida; Strongyloididae.
UACUUUUUAUAUAUAUAUAUAUUAGUAUUGCAUACUAUGUUAGGAUAUUUUCAAAGAUUUUGAUAAAUAGAAACAAAGUGUUUAAGGUGUGGUUUUUUUUUUUGUUACAAAAAUAAUUUUACUGCUCUUAGUGUUGAUACAUCGAACUUUGUGAUAUCUGUUUUUAAUUUUUAUAUUAGAAAAUUAUAUAUUGUUUUUUUUUUUUGUAGUUUUAAUAAUUUGAAGUUUUUUUGUUUCAAGUUUUAUAACUUUACUACUUUUCUUUUCUUUUUUUCUUUUUAAUUAUAAUUCUUUAUAGUUUUUAUUAUCUAGCAAUUAGUAAAUUAAUAAAUUAUGUUUUUUUUUUUAAUAUAAAUGAAUUACUAAUUAUCUGGUCAAAUGUUUAUUAAAGACUUAGGAUUUAUAUUAAAUCUGUUUUCUGCCCUAUGGUUUUUUUAAAUGGCAGUCUUAGCGUGAGGACAUUAAAGUAGCAAAAUAAUUUGUGCUUUUAUUGGGUUCGAGUAUGAAUGAAGUUUUGGCUGGUGAUAUUUUUUUUUUUUUUUGAAUUUAAUAUUCAUCUAAGAAGAGAUGUUUAUAAUAAAACAAAGAUAAGUCUUCGGAAAUUUUAUUUCUAUUAAAAAUUUUUUUUUUUAGUAAUUUAUCUAGGGAAGAUGAUUAUAUAAUUUUUUUUUACUAUUUUUAAUUUAAAAAAUUACUCCGGAGUUAACAGAAAAACAUGCCUUAUGUAGUUCUUAUAUUUUGGUAAGUUUUACAUCGAUGUUGUAUCUUUAUUAGCUGAAGAGGAGAAAUUUCAGUUUUUUAGACUGUUCUUCUUUUAAUAAAUAAAACGUGAUAUUAGUUUAAUUCAUCGUGAGAUAGAAUUGUUUAUCUUGUUUAUUAUUUUUUUUUAUCGGGAUUAGUACGAAAGGAAUUUCACUAUAAUUUUAAAUUUUUUAAU